UCAGAACGAACGCUGGCGGCAUGGAUUAGGCAUGCAAGUCGAACGAAGCAGCAAUGCUUAGUGGCGCAAGGGUGAGGAACACGUGAGUGACCUACCCGCAAGUUUGGAACAGCUCCUGGAAACGGGAAUUAAUACCGGAUGUGAUCAUGAAGCUGCAUGGUUUCAUGAUUAAAGCAGUAAUGCGCUUGCGGAUGGGCUCGCGUCCCAUUAGCUAGUUGGUGAGGUAACGGCCCACCAAGGCCAUGAUGGGUAGCUGGUCUGAGAGGACGACCAGCCACACUGGGACUGAGAACUGCCCAGACUCCUACGGGAGGCUGCAGUCGAGAAUUUUGGGCAAUGGACGAAAGUCUUGACCCAGCAAUGCCGCGUGCGGGAUGAAGGUCUUCGGAUUGUAAACCGCUGUUUGGAGGGACGAAAAUUGACGGUACUUCCAGAGGAAGCCACGGCUAACUACGUGCCAGCCGCCGC
This 468-nucleotide ribosomal RNA is filed under the name uncultured bacterium. Its description in RNAcentral is "bacterial SSU rRNA". It matches the Rfam family "Bacterial small subunit ribosomal RNA", at positions 24 to 518 of the family's 1533-position model. The record is from RNAcentral.